This 475-nucleotide ribosomal RNA is filed under the name uncultured soil bacterium. RNAcentral's name for it is "bacterial SSU rRNA". It matches the Rfam family "Bacterial small subunit ribosomal RNA", at positions 26 to 518 of the family's 1533-position model. The record is from RNAcentral.
AGGACGAACGCUGGCGGCGUGCUUAACACAUGCAAGUCGAGCGGUAAGGCCUUUCGGGGUACACGAGCGGCGAACGGGUGAGUAACACGUGGGUGAUCUGCCCUGCACUUCGGGAUAAGCCUGGGAAACUGGGUCUGAUACCGGAUAUGACCUCCUAUCGCAUGGUGGGUGGUGGAAAGAUUUAUCGGUGCAGGAUGGGCCCGCGGCCUAUCAGCUUGUUGGUGGGGUAAUGGCCUACCAAGGCGACGACGGGUAGCCGACCUGAGAGGGUGACCGGCCACACUGGGACUGAGACACGGCCCAGACUCCUACGGGAGGCAGCAGUGGGGAAUAUUGCACAAUGGGCGAAAGCCUGAUGCAGCGACGCCGCGUGAGGAUGGACGGCCUUCGGGUUGUAAACCUCUUUCAGCAGGACGAAGCGCAAGUGACGGUACCUGCAGAAGAAGCACCGGCUAACUACGUGCCAGCAGCCGAC